Molecule: ribosomal RNA, 301 nt
Filed under: uncultured bacterium
Lineage: Bacteria
Description: partial 16S ribosomal RNA
Rfam family: Bacterial small subunit ribosomal RNA
Source: RNAcentral
CAGCAGCCACGGGAAUACGAAGGGUGCAAGCGUUAAUCGGAAUUACUGGGCGUAAAGCGCGCGUAGGUGGUUUGGUAAGAUGGAUGUGAAAUCCCCGGGCUCAACCUGGGAACUGCAUCCAUAACUGCCUGACUAGAGUACGGUAGAGGGUGGUGGAAUUUCCUGUGUAGCGGUGAAAUGCGUAGAUAUAGGAAGGAACACCAGUGGCGAAGGCGACCACCUGGACUGAUACUGACACUGAGGUGCGAAAGCGUGGGGAGCAAACAGGAUUAGAGACCCCGGUAGUCCCUGUCUCUUAUAC